This 481-nucleotide ribosomal RNA is filed under the name uncultured bacterium. RNAcentral describes it as "partial 16S ribosomal RNA". It matches the Rfam family "Bacterial small subunit ribosomal RNA", at positions 28 to 507 of the family's 1533-position model. The record is from RNAcentral.
GAUGAACGCUGGCGGCGUGCUUAACACAUGCAAGUCGAACGAAGCACUUUAUUUGAUUUCCUUCGGGACUGAUUAUUUUGUGACUGAGUGGCGUACGGGUGAGUAACGCGUGUGUAACCUGCCUUGUACAGGGGGAUAACAGUUGGAAACGGCUGCUAAUACCGCAUAAGCGCACAGCCUCGCAUGAUGCAGUGUGAAAAACUCCGGUGGUAUAAGAUGGACCCGCGUUGGAUUAGCUAGUUGGUGAGGUAACGGCCCACCAAGGCUACGAUCCAUAGCCGAGCAGAGAGGGUGACCGGCCACAUUGGGAGUGAGAAACGGCCCAAACUCCUACGGGAGGCAGCAGUGGGGAAUAUUGCACAAUGGGCGAAAGCCUGAUGCAGCGACGCUGCGUGAGCGAAGAAGUAUUUAGGUAUGUAAAGCUCUAUCAGCAGGGAAGAUAAUGACGGUACCUGACGAAGAAGCACCGGCUAAAUACGUG